GGGUGGGGCAGCCGUUGUAACUAUACUGAGACCUUAGAACUUAUAUCUCAAGGUGGGUGGCGCAUUUACGUUGUAGAUGUCCAUGGGCUCCAGUAACCACUUAACAUCAGGUGGGCUAUGAGCUCGUCCACCCACCUAAGCAAUAAAAAAAAAAAAUACAUAUAUAUCUGUU
Molecule: long non-coding RNA, 172 nt
Organism: Bombyx mori (domestic silkworm)
Lineage: Eukaryota; Metazoa; Arthropoda; Insecta; Lepidoptera; Bombycidae
Exons: 2
Source: RefSeq, a predicted model, not a curated record